GACGAACGCUGGCGGCGUGCCUAAUACAUGCAAGUUGAGCGAUGAAGAUUGGUGCUUGCACCAAUUUGAAGAGCAGCGAACGGGUGAGUAACGCGUGGGGAAUCUGCCUUUGAGCGGGGGACAACAUUUGGAAACGAAUGCUAAUACCGCAUAACAACUUUAAACAUAAGUUUUAAGUUUGAAAGAUGCAAUUGCAUCACUCAAAGAUGAUCCCGCGUUGUAUUAGCUAGUUGGUGAGGUAAAGGCUCACCAAGGCGAUGAUACAUAGCCGACCUGAGGGGGUGAUCGGCCACAUUGGGACUGAGACACGGCCCAAACUCCUACGGGAGGCAGCAGUAGGGAAUCUUCGGCAAUGGACGAAAGUCUGGCCGAGCAACGCCGCGUGAGUGAAGAAGGUUUUCGGAUCGUAAAACUCUGUUGGUAGAGAAGAACGUUGGUGAGAGUGGAAAGCUCAUCAAGUGACGGUAACUACCCAGAAAGGGACGGCUAACUACGUG
RNAcentral lists this ribosomal RNA (497 nucleotides) under uncultured bacterium. Its description in RNAcentral is "partial 16S ribosomal RNA". It matches the Rfam family "Bacterial small subunit ribosomal RNA", at positions 28 to 507 of the family's 1533-position model. The record is from RNAcentral.